Molecule: unclassified non-coding RNA, 345 nt
Filed under: soil metagenome
Description: partial contains 5.8S ribosomal RNA, internal transcribed spacer 2, and large subunit ribosomal RNA
Rfam family: 5.8S ribosomal RNA (bases 1-120)
Source: RNAcentral
GAUGAAGAACGUAGCGAAAUGCGAUACGUAAUGUGAAUUGCAGAAUUCAGUGAAUCAUCGAGUCUUUGAACGCACAUUGCGCCCCCUGGUAUUCCGGGGGGCUUGCCUGUCCGAGCGUCAUUGCUGCCCUCAAGCACGGCUUGUGUGUUGGGCCUCCGUCCUCCUCCCGGGGGACGGGCCCGAAAGGCAGCGGCGGCACCGCGUCCGGUCCUCGAGCGUAUGGGGCUUCGUCACCCGCUCUUGUAGGCCCGGCCGGCGCUUGCCGACACAUCAAUCUUUUUUCCAGGUUGACCUCGGAUCAGGUAGGGAUACCCGCUGAACUUAAGCAUAUCAAUAAGCGGAGGA